Molecule: unclassified non-coding RNA, 433 nt
Filed under: Hevea brasiliensis (rubber tree)
Lineage: Eukaryota; Viridiplantae; Streptophyta; Magnoliopsida; Malpighiales; Euphorbiaceae
Source: RNAcentral
AAAAAAAAAAAAAAAACUUUAUUUUUAUGGUUUUUAUGAUGCUUGUCUUUUGCUUUAACCAAAAAUAUCUCAAUGCAGCCUCCACCUAUUGAGAAAUUUUUGUCCCAAUUUGAGAUUGUGUGAUAGGAAAAUAUCUAGAAAUAGAAAUUUUUAAUUAUUUGGUGAAACCUAUGCAUAUAUAAUUACCACCGUUGAUCAUGAUAAGAUCUAUGUGGGACCCACCUCAAUCUACUGUUAUAAUAAAAUCAUUGCACAUUGUAUAUAUUGGAUAAUUUUUCUUUAAAUGGAGACGAGGAAUUACCUUUAGAAAAAAAUACAAUACUUUCUUUCAGUUGGAGACUUGAGCAAAUCAUGCCAGUAUUUAAAAAAAAUAAUGUUCAAAUGUUGAUGUGCAGGGAUUUCUAUGACUUACCAAGAAUUCCAGUAUAGUAAG